RNAcentral lists this unclassified non-coding RNA (200 nucleotides) under Lindgomyces sp. Its description in RNAcentral is "partial internal transcribed spacer 2". The record is from RNAcentral. Lineage: Eukaryota; Fungi; Ascomycota; Dothideomycetes; Pleosporales; Lindgomycetaceae.
UUAAGUUCAGCGGGUAUCCCUACCUGAUCCGAGGUCAAAACUGAUAAGAGGCUACGCUCAUGGAGAGCCGACAUCCAGCGGCAAGCGCGUAUCUGCUGCGCAAUUAGCUACAAUGUCUGCUGCCAGUGACUUUGAGGCGAGUCCACGCAUAGCACGGGACAAUCGCCCAACACCAAGCUAGGCUUGAAGGUUUGAAACGA